This 253-nucleotide ribosomal RNA is filed under the name uncultured bacterium. RNAcentral's name for it is "partial 16S ribosomal RNA". It matches the Rfam family "Bacterial small subunit ribosomal RNA", at positions 524 to 776 of the family's 1533-position model. The record is from RNAcentral.
UACGUAGGGUCCGAGCGUUGUCCAGAAUUAUUGGGCGUAAAGGGCUCGUAGGCGGUUUGUCACGUCGGGAGUGAAAACACGGGGCUUAACCCCGUGCCUGCUUCCGAUACGGGCAGACUAGAGGUAUGCAGGGGAGAACGGAAUUCCUGGUGUAGCGGUGAAAUGCGUAGAUAUCAGGAGGAACACCGAUGGCGAAGGCAGGUCUCUGGGCUGACACUGACGCUCAUGCACGAAAGCGUGGGGAGCAAACAGG